Molecule: ribosomal RNA, 489 nt
Filed under: uncultured bacterium
Lineage: Bacteria
Description: bacterial SSU rRNA
Rfam family: Bacterial small subunit ribosomal RNA
Source: RNAcentral
AACUAACGCUGGCGGCGUGCCUAACACAUGCAAGUCGUACGAGAAAGCCGGCUUCGGCUGGUGAGUAAAGUGGCGCACGGGUGAGUAACGCGUGGAUAAUCUGCCCUUAAGUGUGGAAUAACGUACCGAAAGGUGCGCUAAUACCGCAUAAUGCCUGGCAACACAAGUUGUCCGGCCAAAGAAGGCCUCUGUUUACAAGCUUUCGCUUCAGGAUGAGUCCGCGUACCAUUAGCUUGUUGGUGGGGUAAUGGCCUACCAAGGCUGCGAUGGUUAGCUGGUCUGAGAGGAUGAUCAGCCACACUGGAACUGAGACACGGUCCAGACUCCUACGGGAGGCAGCAGUGAGGAAUAUUGCACAAUGGGGAAACCCUGAUGCAGCGACGCCGCGUGGAGGAAGAAGGUCUUCGGAUUGUAAAGCACUUUUCGGGAGGAAGAGGAAGGACUGUACUCCCAGAAUAAGCCUCGGCUAACUACGUGCCAGCAGCCGAC